UACGGGGGGGGCAAGCGUUGUUCGGAAUUACUGGGCGUAAAGGGCUCGUAGGCGGCCAACUAAGUCAGACGUGAAAUCCCCAGCUCAACCUGGGAACUGCGUCUGAUACUGGAUGGCUUGAAUCCGGGAGAGGGAUGCAGAAUUCCAGGUGUAGCGGUGAAAUGCGUAGAUAUCUGGAGGAAUACCGGUGGCGAAGGCGGCAUCCUGGACCGGCAUUGACGCUGAGGAGCGAAAGCUAGGGGAGCAAAGCGGG
RNAcentral lists this ribosomal RNA (253 nucleotides) under uncultured bacterium. Its description in RNAcentral is "partial 16S ribosomal RNA". It matches the Rfam family "Bacterial small subunit ribosomal RNA", at positions 524 to 777 of the family's 1533-position model. The record is from RNAcentral.